UUAGUGGCGAACGGGUGAGUAACACGUGAGCAACCUGCCUUUCAGUGGGGGACAACAUUUGGAAACGAAUGCUAAUACCGCAUAAGACCACAGUGUCGCAUGGCACAGGGGUCAAAGGAUUUAUCCGCUGAAAGAUGGGCUCGCGUCCGAUUAGCUAGAUGGUGAGGUAACGGCCCACCAUGGCGACGAUCGGUAGCCGGACUGAGAGGUUGAACGGCCACAUUGGGACUGAGACACGGCCCAGACUCCUACGGGAGGCAGCAGUGGGGAAUAUUGCACAAUGGGGGAAACCCUGAUGCAGCGACGCCGCGUGGAGGAAGAAGGUCUUCGGAUUGUAAACUCCUGUCCCAGGGGACGAUAAUGACGGUACCCUGGGAGGAAGCACCGGCUAACUACGUGCCAGCAGCCGCGGUAAAACGUAGGGUGCAAGCGUUGUCCGGAAUUACUGGGUGUAAAGGGAGCGCAGGCGGAUUGGCAAGUUGGGAGUGAAAUCUAUGGGCUCAACCCAUAAAUUGCUUUCAAAACUGUCAGUCUUGAGUGGUGUAGAGGUAGGCGGAAUUCCCCGGUGUAGCGGUGGAAUGCGUAGAUAUCGGGAAGGAACACCAGUGGCGAAGGCGGCCUACUGGGCACUAACUGACGCUGAG
RNAcentral lists this ribosomal RNA (644 nucleotides) under uncultured bacterium. RNAcentral's name for it is "bacterial SSU rRNA". It matches the Rfam family "Bacterial small subunit ribosomal RNA", at positions 92 to 750 of the family's 1533-position model. The record is from RNAcentral.